UAUUGCAUGUGACACAAACCUUAGCUC
RNAcentral lists this non-coding RNA (27 nucleotides) under Rattus norvegicus (Norway rat). The record is from RNAcentral. Lineage: Eukaryota; Metazoa; Chordata; Mammalia; Rodentia; Muridae.